RNAcentral lists this ribosomal RNA (253 nucleotides) under uncultured bacterium. RNAcentral's name for it is "partial 16S ribosomal RNA". It matches the Rfam family "Bacterial small subunit ribosomal RNA", at positions 524 to 776 of the family's 1533-position model. The record is from RNAcentral.
UACGGGGGGGGCAAGCGUUGUUCGGAAUUACUGGGCGUAAAGGGCUCGUAGGUGGCCCCAUAAGUCAGACGUGAAAUCCCUCGGCUCAACCGAGGAACUGCGUCUGAGACUGUGGGGCUUGAAUCCGGGAGAGGGAUGCGGAAUUCCAGGUGUAGCGGUGAAAUGCGUAGAUAUCGAGAGGAACACCAGUGGCGAAGGCGAGUCCCUGGACAACUUCUGACGCUGAGGCACGAAAGCUAGGGGAGCAAACAGG